CCUACGGGAGGCAGCAGUGGGGAAUAUUGCACAAUGGGGGAAACCCUGAUGCAGCGACGCCGCGUGAGUGAAGAAGUAUUUCGGUACGUAAAGCUCUAUCAGCAGGGAAGAAAAUGACGGUACCUGACUAAGAAGCCCCGGCUAACUACGUGCCAGCAGCCGGGGUAAUACGUAGGGUGCAAGCGUUCUCCGGAUUUACUGGGUGGAAAGGGAGCGUAGACGGCUGCGCAAGUCUGGGGUGAAAUCCCAUGGGUUAAACAUGGAACUGCUUUGGAAACUGGGCAGCUAGAGUGAAGGAGAGGUAAGCGGAAUUCCAGGUGUAGCGGUGAAAUGCGUAGAUAUUAGGAGGAACACCAGUGGCGAAGGCGGCUUACUGGACUGUAACUGACGUUGAGGCUCGAAAGCGUGGGGAGCAAACAGGAUUAGAUACCCCGGUAGUC
Molecule: ribosomal RNA, 440 nt
Filed under: uncultured bacterium
Lineage: Bacteria
Description: partial 16S ribosomal RNA
Rfam family: Bacterial small subunit ribosomal RNA
Source: RNAcentral